AGAGCGGGAGCCCGGAGAUGGGCACUGAGACAAGGGCCCAGGCCCUACGGGGCGCAGCAGUUGCGAAAUCUCCGCAAUGCGCGAAAGCGUGACGGGGCUACCCCGAGUGCCGUCCGCUGAGGAUGGCUUUUCCGCGGUGUAAGGAGCCGUGGGAAUAAGGAGAGGGCAAGACUGGUGUCAGCCGCCGCGGUAAUACCAGCUCUCCGAGUGGUGGGGAUGAUUAUUGGGCUUAAAGCGUUCGUAGCCGGCCUGGCAAGUCUUCCGUUAAAUCCAGCGGCCUAAUCGUUGGACUGCGGGAGAUACUGUUAGGCUAGGGGGCGGGAGAAGCCGACGGUACUCUCGGGGUAGGGGUGAAAUCCUGUAAUCCCGGGAGGACCACCAGUGGCGAAGGCGGUCGGCUAGAACGCGCCCGACGGUG
This 418-nucleotide ribosomal RNA is filed under the name uncultured archaeon. RNAcentral describes it as "bacterial SSU rRNA". It matches the Rfam family "Archaeal small subunit ribosomal RNA", at positions 279 to 699 of the family's 1478-position model. The record is from RNAcentral.